AUGGUGUUUGUUAAGUGCUUACUAUGUGUCAAGCAGAUAGAUACAAGAUACCAGGGAAUCGAGUUGUCCCACGUGGAGCUCACAGUCUUAAUCCCCAUUUUACAGAUGAGGUAACUGAGGCCCAGAGAAGUUAAGUGACUCGACCAAAGUAACACAGCUGAUGUGGAGGAACCGGGAUGAGAACCCACGACCUUUUGACUCCCUAGGUCCGGCUCUUUCCACUAAGCCACGCUGCCUUUCUCCUACACCCUUCUCCCUCUCCUUCCCCGCCUUCCUCCUCACCCCUCUCUCCUUCCUUACCUUUUCUGCCCUCUAACCCCUUCUUCCCUUCUCUCCCCGCCCUCCUCCUCCUCCUCACCUCCUCUCUCCAUCCCACCCCUUUCCCCUGCGCUUACAACAGUGUCUGGCACUUAGAACAGUAUUUGGCACGUAGUAAGCGCUUAACAAGUACCGUCAUCAUUAUUACCUCUCCCGUCCGGCCCCCCCCCCCCCCCGCCCUCUUCACCCCCCCCCUUCUCUCACCCCUCCCUGUCACCCGCCCCCUUUUCCCACACACAGACACACACACAUAGACACACCCACCCGCCCUCACCUAGGGCGAGCAGCCCCAUAUAAAGGGCUGGUCUGGGCCCAAAGGCCCAGAACGGACUGGCUUCUCUUGGCCCGGCCUCGCCCGGCUUUUCAGAGAAGACUCACCUGUCUGGAGCAGGACCCCCACCCAACCAUGAGACCCCGGAUCCCGGCCGGCCUGCUGCUGCUGCUGUUCCUGGGCCUCCUGAUCUUGGUCCUCCCACCUGCAGAGGGGAAAGGAGGCUUCAGGUACAUCUGCCGGCAUUGCAGACACAAGGAAAAACCUGGAUUCCCCAGUAGCUUUCUGGUGCCCGGACCCCUCCCCAGCCUGUAACCGAAACACAGGAGCAGUGGCCCUGGCUGAUGGUGGGCAGUUCAAGCGAUUUCCACACCUGUUGCAGCUCCUGCAGGUCCUGCCUCUCAAAGACCUCUUCUUGAGGCCCAAAUCCACAACUAAGUCAUUGGCCUGACUUUAAUGGGACAGAAGAAGACCAGGACCCUGACUCUAAUAAUCAUGUACCCAAUCGAUCGUAUUUAUUGAGCACCUACUACGUGCAGAGCACUGUACUUAGCACUUGGGAGAGUAGCUCGUUGUGGGCGGAGAAUGUGUCUGUUUGUAGUUAUAUGGUACUCUCCCAGUACAGUAAGCGCUCAAUAAGUACGAUUGAAUGAAUUCAUUCAAUCGUACUUAUUGAGCGCUUACUGUGUGCAGAGCACUGUACUAAGUGCUUGGAAUGUACAGUUCGGCAACGGAUGAAUGAAUGAAGGAAUGAAAUAAGAGACUUGGUAGCCCCUGACAUGUUUUGGAGUUGCUGGUGCCACUUCCGGGGUAAGGCAGCAGGCCUCAGGUUCCGCUGAGGAAAGGAGGGACAACAGGGUGGGGUGAACUGGAGUAAAUGGUUCAGCUUCUUCAGCCUCGAGUCUCCCUCUUUAAGUGGACACACUGAUUCGGCGUACUCUGGGUCUGGUGGGAGGAAAGAAAGGAGCACGGGGAGGUGGGGAGCUAUUGCUAAUCGGUCAUCUGUGUGAGGUUGUGGUCAAACCACUGGGUCAUCUCUGGGCAAGGUUCUGGAUGUCCAUUUGAAGCAUUCACUAUAGGGCUGGAGGGCAACUCCGUAGUCAUCCCUCUUGGAGGGUGGCCACCACACAGGUUUCCGGUCAAGGGAGUCUCCAACACCAGGCCUCAGUCUUGCUGACCCCACCAAUAGUCUCACUCCCAUCUCUCCCCUGGGAUGGAUCUCUGGGGGUGAUAAGGACUUUUGGUUGGUUGCUAGGGCAGAUCAGAAUUGGUGCUGGAGCAGCUGCAGUCAAUCUGGUCACAAGAUCAGACCCCAUUCUAAAAUCCCACACGUUAUGUGGUCCGAGGGAGCAGCGUGGCCUAGUGGAUAGAGCACGGACCUGGGAUUCAGAAGGCCGUGGGUUCCAAUCCCAGCUCGGCCACUUGUUUGCUGUGUGACCUUGGGCAAGUCACUUAACUUGUCUGCACCUCAGUUCCCUCAUCUUUAAAUUGGGGAUUAAGAGUGUGAGCCCCAUGUGGGACAGUGACUGUGUCCAGUCUGAUUACCUUAUAACUACCCCAGCACUUAGGCACUUGACAAAUACCAUAAUUAUUAUUAUUAGUGAGUGAGAUCCAUCCCCGGUCCUCAACCUCCUGCCUCCCUGACAAGAGUCACUUCAGUGGCCCCUGUUCCAACUGUGAAAAACCAAAGGAAAUAAAAAAUUCACUUUCAGAAGAGACCAGUGGGCAUGUGUGGCAUUCAGAGGGGCUGAGCCAGGGCUGAGUGCAUGUGACCAUAUGCAUCUUUGCUUUAAACUAUGAACUCCUCCACCUGGACUGGGCCAUUGGUGGACUCUUCCUCAGUCAGACUCAAUAAACAUAGAAUAACACCCACCCUGGUGUGGAAGGAUUCCUCUCUCAAAGAUGUCACGUUGCCCUUUUCCUCAUCUUGAGCUGAGGCCCCUAAGAAGGUCGUGGCUCCACUCUACAGUGGCCCUGGAUCACUGAAAUCCCCAAGGAAAGGGAGCUUCAAUUCACUCUUCUCUGGGGCUGCAGGAAUUCUUGGUCAAAGCGUUAUUAUAAUGUUGGUAUUUGUUAAGCGCUUACUAUCUGCCGAGCACUGUUCCAAGCGCUGGGGUAGACACAGGGGAAUCAGGUCGUCCCACGUGGGGCUCACAGUCUUAAUCCCCAUUUUACAGAUGAGGGAACUGAGGUACAGAGAAGUUAAGUGACUUGCCCACAGUCACACAGCUGACAGGUGGCAGAGCCGGGAAUCAAACCCAUGACCUCUGACUCCCAAGCCCGGGCUCUUUCCACUGAGCCACGCUGCUCCGAGCCAUUUCUGAUUCAUAGCGACCCUAUCGACGAAUUUUCCCCAGAACAUCUUAUCUUCUGCCAUAAUCCGUAACCUUGCUAAAGAUUCUUUCGUUAUCAAUGUUAUGGCUUCUAGCCAUCUAGCUGCUGGUCUGCCUCAUCCACAUUUUCCCGGGACUUUUCAUAAGCAUUAGUGUCUUCUCCAGACUAUUAGUCCAAAGAGAGCAGUUGAUGCCCUAGUUUAAUUCUGUUUCUGCAGGCAGUUCUCCCUGAGACCUCUCACAGAU
This 3168-nucleotide long non-coding RNA is filed under the name Ornithorhynchus anatinus (platypus). Its description in RNAcentral is "lncRNA (ENSOANG00000041418.1)". Lineage: Eukaryota; Metazoa; Chordata; Mammalia; Monotremata; Ornithorhynchidae. The record is from RNAcentral.